CCUACGGGUGGCAGCAGUCGAGAAUCAUUCACAAUGGGGGAAACCCUGAUGGUGCGACGCCGCGUGGGGGAAUGAAGGCCUUCGGAUUGUAAACCCCUGUCAUGUGGGAGAAAAUUAAAAAGAUCGUACCACAAGACGCAGAGACGGCUAACUCGGUGCCAGCAGCCGCGGUAAUACAGAGGUCUCAAGCGUUGUUCGGAAUCACUGGGCGUAAAGCGUGCGUAGGCUGUUUCGUAAGUCGUGUGUGAAAGGCGCGGGCUCAACCCGCGGACGGCACAUGAUACUGCGAGACUAGAGUGAAGGAGGGGGAAGCGGAAUUCUCGGUGUAGCAGUGAAAUGCGUAGAUAUCGGGAGGAACACUCGUGGCGAAGGCGGGUUGCUGGACAUUAACUGACGCUGAGGCACGAAGGCGAGGGGAGCGAAAGGGAUUAGAUACCCGUGUAGUC
RNAcentral lists this ribosomal RNA (446 nucleotides) under uncultured bacterium. RNAcentral's name for it is "partial 16S ribosomal RNA". It matches the Rfam family "Bacterial small subunit ribosomal RNA", at positions 338 to 795 of the family's 1533-position model. The record is from RNAcentral.